UACAGAGGUCCCGAGCGUUGUUCGGAUUCACUGGGCGUAAAGGGUGCGUAGGUGGCGAGGUAAGUUUGAUGUGAAAUCUCCGGGCUUAACCCGGAAAAUGCAUUGAAUACUAUUUUGCUGGAGGGUUGGAGGGGGGACUGGAAUUCUCGGUGUAGCAGUGAAAUGCGUAGAUAUCGAGAGGAACACCAGUGGCGAAGGCGAGUCCCUGGACAACACCUGACACUGAGGCACGAAAGCUAGGGGAGCAAACAGG
Molecule: ribosomal RNA, 253 nt
Filed under: uncultured bacterium
Lineage: Bacteria
Description: partial 16S ribosomal RNA
Rfam family: Bacterial small subunit ribosomal RNA
Source: RNAcentral